GACUCUAGAUGACAGACAGUGCAGAUUCAGUUAAAACAUAAAGUACCUGGCGGACUAUUUCCGGAGGUUACAGUUUUGUUAUUAAAAAAAAAAAAAUACACAAAUAAUGGGUCUGGAAGAGGAAGCAUAAUAAAUUUGAGGACUUAGAAGUGAUGCUAAAUUUGGACAUUUGAAGAAGGGGCACAGGAAAGCAAUUCAAAGGCACUUGAGUUAUCAACGUGCACAGAGGAAAUUAAGUAGGAGGCAUUUUGGAAAGGCACCCACUGAUAUCGACCUGGAUGGAAGCCCUUGAAGUUACAGUUCCUCCACAGCAUGGGCUUUGAACUCCUGCGCUUGGGUCUGGCUUCCACAAAGAUGAGCUCAGAAUGGAAAAAUUAAAAAAAAAAAAAAAAAAAAGUUGGAAGCCAUUGCCACUACAGUGCCAACCUGGCCAGCCACAAGACCAUAAUAUUUUUUAAACUCUGACGGCUAGGAAUGGACACAAAUUGCUCUUUUGUGGUUGCCAGCAGGUUUCUGAAUCAUCUUUGGGUUAGGGCUUCAGUAGACUUUUGAUUUUGCAAGGUCUAGUAAAGAACUUUUAUACACACAAGCAGGCAAGCUUUGGACAUGGCCUGUGAGUCUUUUCCUGGACCACGGUAAGGAACAGUCCUGACCAUUCUCACCAGACAAUGCUGAUAUUCCAGCUAAGCCCCAGAUGAUGGAUAAUCCUGCCUUCCAUGUAUGCUCCCUUUACAACGUCCACAGAAGAGCAGUGUUAUGUGCAUUAUCUCGUGUAGACAGGACAUCAGUGGGGUGUUGAGGACUGGCUCAAAGUGUGAGGACACAUUUUAAGGCAGCCCUCAACCAAGAAACUGCAGAAGAGGAACCCUCGUGACCCUUCCCAAUCACGCUGAUGGCUUCAAGUUGGACAGGGCUAUCCUGGGCCCCAGGAGCCAACCUUCAAUCCAAAAGCCACUCUACACCAUCUAAGUGAAUCAGCCAAUCUCAACAACAUGGACAAGAGGCCAGAUCUGUCGAGAACUCUGUCAUCUGUAUGAAAACAUCCCAGGGCUACACAAAGCCACUUAUCUGAGCCCUUCACUCAGGAUGGAAAGAAAGGCAGCUUGCAGAUCUGAUUUACCACACAAGGGGCUAGAAAGUCCUGAGUGAGUUGUGGAUGAGGUUGGCGGCCACACUGCCCACACAGAAUUCUAAAGGGGAUUCUCCUGCCUCCCACCGUGAGACUCAACUCUGAUCCAGCCCCUCAAAUUUGAGGGAGACCCCACGUAACCUACACGGUCCAUCUGCAGGGAUUCCAUAGCCCUGUCUUUACUUCAUUAGAAACUGACCGUUCUGCUUUUCAAUAGUUGCUACAAUUGGGGAAAGAAUAAAUUGAACACAUGAGCAUGUAUUAAAUAACCAUGUAUGCCCUGUACUGUAAGACUCUGUACAAGAAACAAAAGAAAUAGGAGACAAGGUACAAUCUCAGUACCUUGAUAUCCAAGUUGGAAGGUAUAGAUAUACUCAGCAGAAAACUAAAUGAAAAAAAAAAAAAAAACAAGCACCCGUUUGUGUGGUAGUCAUUAA
This is a long non-coding RNA of Pongo pygmaeus (Bornean orangutan), 1566 nucleotides long. RefSeq lists it as uncharacterized. The transcript is spliced from 5 exons. NCBI's taxonomy places the organism in Eukaryota, Metazoa, Chordata, Mammalia, Primates, Hominidae. The record is from RefSeq and is a predicted model, not a curated record.